Molecule: unclassified non-coding RNA, 5579 nt
Filed under: Hevea brasiliensis (rubber tree)
Lineage: Eukaryota; Viridiplantae; Streptophyta; Magnoliopsida; Malpighiales; Euphorbiaceae
Source: RNAcentral
AAAAAAAAAAAAAAAGCUCAUGAAUUGUUCCUGUCCCUGUGCGAAGUCUGUAAAUUAUCAUGUGUGAUUUCAUUGGCUUGCAGUGAUGAAUUAUUUCUGACAUAUAAAGAUGUAGAAGACUACUGGAAAAUUAGUGUUUCCAAUUUAUCAGUAUACAUAUUGCAGGUAGGAGUGGCCAUUGGUUUGGUCUGGCCAGAACCAGUGGCUUGUUUCAAGGUUCAGGGAAAUCGGGACUGGACCGUAGAGUUCUCUUGAUUUUGGUCCGGUUUGAUUAAAUUCUACUGUUAAAAUUUUUUUAAAGAAAAAACUUGGUUUUAGCCUGAAAUCAGUCUGGACUGAACCAAUAGAUUCCAAUUCAAUUCUGGUCCAGUUCAAAGCUGGUUUUGGUGUUUUCGAUUUUGACUGGUCUUAAUUUUGGGUUGAAUCAUACUCGGGCUGGGCCUAAAUUUCCAGGAGACAGUAAUGUUUCAUUCCAACAGUAUGGUCCAUUUGACGAGCGUAGUUUGGCGAGCGAGCAUCUUGCUUCUAUCUUGUUUAAAGUGAUAAGGGUAUUCCUUAUCAACUGGCAUUGCAAGAGAAAACAUGUUUUAGAAAUUGAACUAAAAGCUCCUGCAUUGCUUGGCAAAUAAUCUAAAUUUUUUAUUUGUUUUUUUUUUCACUUGUGGAACGUAUGAAGAGGUUAUAAAGAAAGGGGCGGCAGAAAAAAGACGAGCACAGAGAGUGACCAGAGCCCUUUUUCAUGACCAAUGAAGUGGGAUACCAUGUGCUGUUUUGUAGCAAGCAUCGUUUGGUGGGGUUCCUGAAGUGAGUGUUCUGAUAAAUUAAUAGUGAUGGGAAUAUUACAAAGAGUGGUCCAUGGUCCAUAAUCCAUGGGCUUGGAGCCCACAAUUAUUAACAGUGGAAAGCAACGGAAAGAUGCAAGCGCAACCUGGGUCUAUCCAAAAGUUUUCUAGACAUUACUAGACUCUUCACCGCCCGUUUUCUUUCUUCUUCGAACCUUCUUUUAUUUCACUGCACUCUCCUUCAUCGAUCAUCAUCGUCAUCAUUUGUCCCAAAUGAAAGCACUUCAUUAACAUAGACUGAAACAAGGCAAGCACCCAAAAAUACUUUCUUACUUUCAACAAAAAUCAUGUUCGGUGUGGUCUUCCCCAACCGGAGCUUUCCUAUGGACAUUUCCACUUUCUCCCAAAUCGACACCUUCCAUUGGAUUCUCGACAUGAACACUUUCGUAGGUGAGGCCUACGAUCAAAUCCGCGAAGUCUGCAUUUUCCUCUUAAACAGUUUCUCUCUUCCCCCGGAGAAAGCCCUAGCCGUCUACAUUCAGUCUCCUGGUUCACCUUUCCAAUUCUGUGGCGCCAUCACUCUAUCACGUCCCUCCGCCGUCCUCUCCCUCAAUUGGCCUGAGCCCGGUGGACAAUUGCAGCUUACGGCGCCGGAUUCUGCCCCGCUGUCUGCUAAAAUAGGGGUUUCGGUCGAGGACUUGGCGUCACUGCCGUCGUUGGAUAUAGCCGCCGAGAAAAGGAUCGAACGGCUUGCUAUGAAAGUUGGGGAGAAUUUGUUCAAUUAUAUGCAGUCGUUUUGUGGAGUUGAUGGGAGCAAGUUGAUUGUGCCUAUGGAUAUUUUGGACCGAUGGUUUAAGAAGUUUCAGGAGAGGGCUAAGCGUGACCCGGAGUAUUUGAAAGGCUUCGAUUUGUAAUCUUUAAAUUUCAAGGUAUUUUCGCCCUUUACUCAAUUUUGCUCUUCGAGUUAGGUUUGUUUUAGGAAGAAAUUAGGAAAACCAUAUGGCAGCAUUUUGUUGUUAUUGCUCUGUUUGCCUCUCAAACUCACUGGUGUUAUUUUUGGAAGAUGUUGUUGUUGUUGGAUUUUAAUUUCAUUUUAUAAAUGUAUUUUUCUAGUGAAUUCGCAGUAUCAUAUGGUCUCAUUUAGUUCCCCUGAGCAUAUGUGCUUAUUUCCUGCUUCUUCGUUCCUAUAAUGUCCAGAGCUGCCAGAUAUUUUGCUGGUUAUAUCAAGUUUAACUGUCCAAAUUUCAUUGUUCCUAAAUGUUUCCUCUAGUCUAAGUGCUAAUAUUGCCCAUUUAUUGAUCCAAGGAAGGUGGGCCUAUAAUUUUCCAUUAACUAUGCUUGGCUGUAGUUUUACUCAUUCAAUUUGUUUUACAUGAAGUGGCUGUUUCACAGACUCAAAUCUGAACCCUUGGAUCCAUGCACUAUAAGUUAAAGGGAUUUAAGGGGGAACUUUACUUUGUAUUCUUCCCCAUAUAGGCAACAUAUAAAGCUGCUCUUGAGUAAUGCGUUGUGGAUGCAUAUGGUAGUACCGAAAUAGUCAUCUGUUUAUACUCCAGGUCUGCUUCUGUACUACUACUACCACUACCAGGAGCAAACCCUCUGAACGGAUCAACGAAGUUAACUUGAUUGAUAUUCUAAUCUUAGCCUGAGUUUAGAUAAAAAAAGCACUAGAAACCCAACUCAUCAUAAUAUCAAUCUUGUUGGGGACUCGGAUCCUUUCACUCCAUCUCUUUACUGCCUGCCUCUGAUUUUUCUUUGCUCUUAAAAUUUAAUUUGGGCAUGAAAAGUGUAAGAUUUUGAGGUAUUAAAGUGUUUUAUAAUAUAACAAUUCAGAAAUAAAGUUUAAUUAAAUUUUAAAGUUUUAGGAAUUAAAUUAUUGUUUAAUUUAAAAUAUUGGGGACUCAAAUUUAAUGAAAACUUUAUAAUUUUAUCAAGGACUAAAAUGUAGACUCACUAACAAACUUUAGAGACUAAAGUAACUAAUCUUAAAAGGCUAAAUGCAUUUGUGCACUUGAAUUAUUUGGGAUUGACCUAUUGCACCCUUAAACAUUUUUUUUUUAACCUAUUGUUUUUCAUAACAAUUCAAUACAAAUUGGCAGAUGACUGAAAGUGUGUUUUUCGCAUGUGCUGACGCCUCAAAAAGUCAGGAGCGGCCCCACUUAUGGCCUUCUCUCUUACGAAGAAAUAUAGAAGCUAAUUAAAGCAAAUUAAACAAACAUUCACAGCUCAUCUUUGAUUCUAACCCACUAAUUUCUGCUCUCUCUUUAUCUUUCUCUAUAUAUAUGUAUUACAAAUCUCUCUCUUGUUACCCCACCCACACAAUCCCAACACACUUCAUUUUUUCUUAUGUUCACUUAUUUUUCUUCUCUCGUCUUCCUCCUUUGGCUUUGUUUUUGGUUGGUGCUUGUACUUUAGAUUUUGGGUAAAAUCACAUUUGGGUAAAUCUGAAAUGCCAAUGGGCUGGGUGCUUGCCAAAUGGGUUAACAAGUUCAUUUUUCACAUGAUUGCAUGAUUGAAAUCCAUGGAUUUGAAAAGUUCUAUGUUGAGAUAUUCAGAAGGAGAGGCAAAAAGCCUUGGAAUUUGCUUGCAGGUAUUGAGCCAAGGAGCACAACAAGCUGAAGCAUAUUGUUGGAUGGUGACAUUGGUUUAAAUUCUAAUACCCCCCUUGGUAAUUAAGCUUUUUGAUUGGCAGGUUUUGCGUAUUGUCUCACUUGGUGUUUUUAGCAGUUGUUAUUCUUACACUACUGUACAUUGGUUCCAUUUUGAAGGAAUUUUCUUCAACUUCUAAUUAUAAUCUAUUCGUAGAUGAUUUUCUGAUUUGGUCGAUUUUGAAUUCAUGGAUUCACUCCUUAGUUUGAUCAAUUUUGGAAUUUCUUAUGACAUGGUAAGAAGUGGUGCACUUAAUUCUCCAGGGCUUGGAUCUCAGUGUUACAAAAUUUUCUUUCCUUUCUUCAAGUAAAGAUUUCUCAUUCUUAUUCCUCUGUUUAAAUGCAACUUACAUUUUUUUUUUUUAUUCAAAUUCUUCUGAAUUUGAGAUUUGAGUUUGAUUCAAUUUUUUAUCGGUUUGAUUUAAAAUGUGUUGGGAUGCUUCAUUCUACAUUUUCUAGUUAUUCGUGUGGUUUUGCUCUUCACAGUGAUUGUGUUGAUUACUGGUUGAUCAUUUUUGAAGCAAUUUGUGGAAGAGAAGAGGGUGUCGAUGAUUGUGAUUCCCCUUUAGGUCUUGUAAAUUGAGUAUGAUAGCAGAGGCCAUUGACAUAGAGAAAGAAUGAGCAGAAAUGGGAGGUUUUUAGUGAGAGAAAUGUUAACUAGAGGGUAAGAGCACUUGGGAUGGGUCAAUCCGAGCUGUAAGAAAGGAAGCUAGGUUGGGUAGGAGAAUCAGUAGGAAGAAGAAGAAUAAGUGGGUUGGGACUGUUCUUUUGAGAAGGAAGAGGAAGGGAAGAGAAUCUUCGAGAACAAGGAAGAAGAAAAUGCCAUGUAGAUCCAUCCGAUUUGCUCACUUGCUCUCAUACGCGCGAUUACAUGCUCCUUGUUAAUUGUGUCCGUUUGUAUGGUACAGGAGUGGGGAUAUACGUUUGACCAAUCUUAAAACAACAGAUAUGAAAGUAAAUGUCAUGCCAAUAACUUUGGUUUUUAGUAAUUUACCUAUUAUAUAUCUAGAUGCAAAGGCUAGUCUUUUUGGCGAGUCAUCUUGCAAUAUUUUCACAGAAAAAUAAUAAACUCACUGGCAAUUAGAGAUUCAAAAGAACUUCCCAAAAUUAUGGUGUCAGGUGAAGUUGCAUGCCAGAAAGAUCGCCUUAUAAAAUAUGGAUUCCUCUUGUUUGUUAGAAGCUAAGCCAUAUAUCACAAGAAAAUUUGUUGUCGGAACUGCAAGAGUUAGUGUUAGAUGAUAAUAACUAUGUCUAGGUAACAUUCUACAUAUUAACGCCUUUCUUCAAAACCUGGGUUGUUAGCAGGGAGACUUGCUAAUUUACUUCCAGACUACUGACAUUCCGACUCAAUGAUCGAUCAUGCAAGUUGAUGAUGUUUUUUUCUUUGUUUGUACAAUAACAGGAUAUGAAUUCCCUUUGAUGCUCGCCUGUUAGAUCAAAAAUUGCUGCUAUGCCAAGAAGUAGGAGAGGUGUAUGUUUUGCCACCAUUCUGAAGUGGCCUGUGUUGUGAAUAUAAACUUUAAAAUGAUAGGGGCUUAGAUCUUUUGAAUGCUACUGUUUGACGGUUUAGACUUUCAGUUUGCAACUUCUUAGUUAAGAGGAUUUGGGAUUUUGCUUUUUGAUUAUUUUGCACAAAAUUUCUGGCAUAAAAGGAGGAUGGUGAGUGAGAAGGGGAAAGAAAUAUUCUGUGAUCGUGAUUCUGAACCGCGAGUAAUCGUGAAUCUUUUAUUGAGGUUUAAACUGUUGUUAAAAUGUGAUUUGAGUGCGGAUUCCAUGAGCAAGUGCCUUGAGUAGGUACGAGUUUAAAAAGAAAAGGGUUCUAUUUUAAAUGUGAUGAGAGCUAGUAAAUUCAUAGUGCAACUGCAACGUGACCUCUGCUUUGGAGCUCAACUAUUUUAUACUUGGGAAGAAGGUUGCAGGAAGUUAUUUUCAGCUCCUCGUUAAGUAUCGCUCCUUCAACUUAGUGUACAAGUAUAACAUUGGCAUUUGUGGACGCCUUUCAAAAGCUGUUCGGUUGCAUGUAAUUAUUUUCCACUUAUAUAUUUUUCAUGGUUAAGAAUAUGUUUUUCAUAUAAUAAUUAUUUGUACAUUUUAAAUUUAAAUUUCUAUAGUUAAUGGUAUUUAUGGACCGCCAAAAUGGAUUUUAAUA